AACGAACGUUAGCGGCACGCUUAACACAUGCAAGUCGAGCGAGAAUCCCUUCUGGGAGGACAGCGGCGCACGGGUGAGUAACACGUAGAUAAUCUGCCCUCGAGUGGUGGAUAACGUUCCGAAAGGAACGCUAAUACAGCAUAACACCACGGCUCUUCGGAGUUUUUGGCCAAAGCGGAGGACCUCUUCGGAGGCUUCGCGCUUGAGGAUGAGUCUGCGGCCCAUCAGCUAGUUGGUAGUGUAAAGGACUACCAAGGCUAAGACGGGUAGCUGGUCUGAGAGGAUGAACAGCCACACUGGAACUGAGACACGGUCCAGACUCCUACGGGAGGCAGCAGUGGGGAAUCUUGCGCAAUGGGCGAAAGCCUGACGCAGCGAUGCCGCGUGAGCGAUGAAGGCCUUCGGGUUGUAAAGCUCUGUGGAUGGAGACGAAUAAGUCGUAGCUAAUACCUGCGAUGAUGACGGUAUCCAUUUAGCAAGCACCGGCUAACUCUGUGCCAGCAGCCGCGGUAAGACAGAGGGUGCAAACGUUGUUCGGAAUUACUGGGCGUAAAGCGCGUGUAGGCGGCUUUGUAAGUCGGAUGUGAAAUCCGCGGCUCAACCGUGAAGUGCACCGAAACUGCAAGGCUAGAGUAUCGGAGAGGAAGGUGGAAUGCUUGGUGUAGAGG
Molecule: ribosomal RNA, 668 nt
Filed under: uncultured bacterium
Lineage: Bacteria
Description: bacterial SSU rRNA
Rfam family: Bacterial small subunit ribosomal RNA
Source: RNAcentral